AACGCUCUCGCAGAGCAGUUAUCUCCCAAACAUAGUCUUUGAACAAGUAAAUCACCUACUGGUGGUCAAUGCAGGCGCUGGGUCACAGAAUGCACGGACUGGAGCUUUGAACAAAUUAGUUGCAGGAGUUGAAGCACUGGUGUUUGCAGCGUUUGGUGCAGACGCAGGCUCAGGGCCGAGUUUUCCGCGCUUCGUUGCGUACUAAGAACAGUAAACGCGUUGUACGCAUGUAUUCCGAAACUAGAGCACUCCGGACUAUUUGGUUUGCACCCUGUGAAGAUAACUUGUUGUGAGUGAGCAAUAUGCCCACGAGUUAGCAUAUACAAUAUUUUCGAUUCUUCAAGUUUUCACCGGCGAAUACCAAGCGCGGUAGCUGCACCGGUUCGCUCCCAGGCCGAAUAGACUAGUCCGCGUCUGUUAGUUGUAUGGAGCAGAACCUGAAACGAACCGGAUUUCUCCCGAAUCCACAGAAAAUCCUACGUAUCAAUUCAUGAACCCCAUGUCGAGUGCUGUCUACUAUUGAACUGCGCAACUGAGCUGGCACUGCCGGUAUCGUUGGGCGGCUCACGCCACAGCGCCAGCAGACACCAGUCUCGCACAGGACGCUUGUUGCAGGGCAAAUAUGCAGAAGGCUAGCACCCGUGCUCCGGUGCUGUGUGGGAAGCUCAGUCGCGUCGGCUUAUGCGUUGAACUUGCGGAAGAUGAAAAUGGCACUUUUGACUCAGACAUCCGAGCGAAACCUGCAAGGAAUGGGAUCUCGGAAACCCACGUACCUGUUUCGCUGCACCAACAUGUCUAUGCAGCAAGCAGCGCUUCAGCGAUGCGCUCUGGUGGCGGCAGUCUGUAUUUACGUCGACGCAGGAUCGAACAACAGAAACCAGAGACUGGAUAUGACCCCAGGAGAGCCGCGUUCUACGCUCGUUCGGGCAUUUCCGUGCAAACGAUCAAAGCAGCGUCGUAGACUGCGUUGCAUCAGUGUGAACGACCCGCGGCAGUGACGUGAAAUGCUCAAGCCGUUUGCAUCCUGGUCCCAUACAAAUGCAUGGUGUGCGCGAAACCCCACGUAACAUGAACGUGGAACGCUGAACCGCUUGCAACGUUGCUGGCAUUCGAUAUUUUCCGAACUUUUCCGAAGAUAUGCAACCUGAAGAUUCGAAUUGCAUGAAUGAAGGCUGGCGGAUCCGUAUGUAGUUUCAGGAUUGUGGGUCAUGUCCAGGGAGUGGCUCCCGCGAUUUCUCGGCACUGGAAUUCGAUACGUCACCGUCAUCAAGAUGAUUUUUCGUGGCGCGCUCGAACAAGGGCUCCUAAAAGAAUCGCUAUCAGCAUCGAGGGCACGCGCAAAAGCCUCUGCUCGUCCAUUUCCGUACUCGUAAUAGGUUCAAAUCACGCAUUCUUCAAGGUUUCGAUCUUUGUGUUGCAGGGCGCCUGUUGAGUGCAGCGAUUCGCACCACUCAAUUGACGACGAUGAAGAACAUUCCACGUGAUCCAUUGACGAUGUUUUCAUGCGCUCACGCCGAAACCUCGCUGACCGCCUCUCGGCAUAUCAUCGAUUCUGUUCGCUAGAUCAACCAUCAUCUGUUCCGUGUCAUCGAUGAAAUGGCACUGGGCUGCAGCAUGAUGCUUUUUGCGGGAGUUGCUCCCAGACGUUCAAAUCUCUUCUAUUCCUUUUACACGGAAAUGGGUCUUGGACUAGGAGUUCAGUUACGGUAGCGAUCGUUGCCACUGCAGUGUGCGUCAUCAUGUCGCAUAAAGGGAACGGAGACAA
Molecule: RNA transcript, 1765 nt
Organism: Cyanidioschyzon merolae strain 10D
Lineage: Eukaryota; Rhodophyta; Bangiophyceae; Cyanidiales; Cyanidiaceae
Exons: 1
Source: RefSeq, a predicted model, not a curated record